CUGCUAAAAAACCUACAUUAAUCACUUCUCUUACAGAUAGCUACAGACCUGUCUCUCUCCUUCCAUUCAUAGCGAAAACCCUCGAAAGAGUUGUUUUCAAACAGGUAUCACUGUUUCUUUCUGUGAGGAGGCAGGUUUGAAAAACACAGGAAUUAUGGUGCAGCCACAAUUGCACAACAGUGCAAGGUCAUUUAUUUCCAGUGUCCACAGUCCCAAAAUACAAAAAUGUUACAAAAUAUUUACAACCAGCGCUUCGCUGAGCUACCUUCCACAAAAACGGAUUUCAACAUGCAUGGCUUGCACUACCAACUGUCCUCCUCAACUUCCCCCUCCUCAGUGAGAGAUAAAUCAACCCUUUUAUAGCACAGAGAGAAAAGAGAGUAACCAUUUGAAGGUAAGUACAAGAUAAGGAGCACUUUUUCAACCUUCUACAAAAAGAACAGUCCAGCCAGCGGAAGGUUCGCGCAUGCUCAGCCCGUUAAAAAGUUCCUGUCUUAAGCAUUUAUGAACCGCCGCCAGUGUUUUCACCCUUCUCAUCUGCUGUACUCGCAGCAGAUCCAACACGGAAGACACCACAAGCAAGAAACCUCACAGCACGAACAGAGACACAAACUGACAAAUACACAGAUAAGUAAAUAAAAGAUGUAAUAAUUAAACCUAUCUGGUGUGUGCAUGUGAUUACUGAAAUGGUUAUAGCAGGGAUAUGUGAAGAUUAAAGUGAGUGUAUGCAUGUAUGCCAACAUAACAGUCGCACAAACCCUAUUUCCCUUUAUGUAUUCCAUCUCUUUCAAGCUUGUACUUAAACAAUGCCUAAAACUUGGUAUUACAAGCACUUCCUGUGUCUGUUUGCCUCUUUCAAAAGAAUCACUUAAUGUAUUCCCCAAUUGCAAACUGACUAAAUGUAAAUGUGUGUACAGGAGUAUUGAGGGUGGAAGAGAGUGUCCUACAUUGACUCCCCCCACGACACUUCCUGGAGGACCUGAGACUCGAAACUCACAACCUUCGGGUUACAAGUCCGACUCUCUAUGUAUUUGGCCACGGCUGAUUGAGCGAGAGUGUGUGAGUGUAUAUGAGUAUAAAUGAGUGAGUGUGUGUGUGGUUGAGAGUGAGUGUGGGCUCCAGGCUGGUGAUUGGGCACUGCUCUGGGCCGCUCUACUCUGUCGGGUGAUUGGGUUAUAGAUGGGCGUCUGCAGCACAUGGUUCAGUCCCGUGAGUCCCGUGAGAGAAGAGAGAGAAGCAGAUGAACAGCUUAGAUGUGUGUUGGAUGUGCUGUGUUUUUCUUUCUGUAUUUUCUUUAGAAUGCUACUGUAUUUUCUACUGUAAAGCACUUUAGAUUAGCUUCUGUUGUGCUCUAAAAAUAAUCUCAUCUCAUAUCAUGUUUUCUAGGUUCGCAGAUGCAUUAGCUCUCUUUUAUUAAUUUGUUCAAAAACACAGACACACACACCUGCAGGAACUCACAUGCACACACACACACACACACACACACACACAAACACACACACACAUACACACACACUCACCUGCAUGCUGUAGACGUCAUUAUCAUAUUCACGUAACAAACACAAAACACUACAAACGAAACACACAUGAAACACUGCACACAUAACGCACAAGUAACUGCACAUGUAACACAAAACAAACCGAAAACACACGGAACACUGCACACAUAAUGCAUAUGUAAUACUGGACAUGUAACACACACUUAACACACAAAACACACAUGAAACACACAGAAAACACAACACACAUAAAACACAUGUAACACACAAAGCACUGCACACGAAACAUGGCACACAUGUAACACACACAAAGCACUGCUAAUCUUACUGACACGCUAUACUGAAAUGCUAUAAUGUUGUUGAUAGUAUUUGGAGAGUAUGCAGUGUGUUUUCAUUAUGUCACUGCGUCCACUGUCAAAACAUUACGUCACUGCGUCCACUGUCAAACACACACACACACACACACACACACAGGUUACUGACACGUCACUCACUAGGGCUCAUCUUAACUGUGUGUGUGUUUGUCUUACAGGUGUGUGUUGUGUGUUUUGCUCUGAUUCGUCCAUACGGCCCUUCUUUGAUGUACAGAUGACUGACAUCACCUAUAAAAUCCUGAAGAGCCUGUUUACGCCUGCAGCUGGUCCCCUCCAUACCUGCAUGCACACACCAGACACACACAUCACACUUGCACACAGUGUUUCCUCACAGCUGAGGAGUGUGUGUUUUAGCAUGACCGGCGACGAUGAAAGUUGAGUUGUCUGAGGAUGUUCAUCAGCUGACUGAUGACUCUGUCCACCCCCUGCAGAGCCAAGAUCAGCUGCACACACACACAGAUGUCAGCAGAUGUUUUGAAGUUGAAUGUAUUUUUUCAAUAUAAAUCAGCAUUUUAAAGCUGUUUGUGACAUUAGAUCAACAUCAUCUGAUGCUUCUGGAAUUUAUAUGUCACCAGAGAUAGGAAGUGAUAAGAAGCGUGUGAGAGAAAGAUCAUCAGCACACACCAGUGAGUGUGUGUCACCCACUUGUGAUUUCUGAUAAACUGCUGAGUGUGUGUGUGUGUUCUCACGCCUCUGCUGACAGGUCCAUAACUGUGUCCUGAACUAUCCGGCUCCUCUAAGUAGAUUGUGAAGAAACACACAGACAUGUCUGAUUGAUGGACAUCCAGUGAACCUUGUUUUGCCUUUGAAUGAAGUUUAUUUUUCUGACCCCCCAUGGACGGAUUUUUUUCAUUUUGAUCAGUUUCAGAAAAUAAGAAUUAAUCUUCUGUUAUUUAAAUGUAUCGUUUUAAGAAUGUUUAAAUCUUUGUUCAGGAAAGGACACAAACGAAAUACAGAAAUCUAAGUAAGAUUUUUUUUUUUUGUAUUGAAUGUUAACAGGUUGUGAAAAAAACAUUUAAGACGCUCCAGCUGUGAAAACUCCCUAAACACUAGAUCCUGCAGAUUCAGACACACGAUGUGAUGAAGGACGGUCACACACACACACACAAACACACACACACACACACACACACUCACACACUCACACACACAAACACACACACACACACUCUCACACACACACACAGACACACACACACACACACACACACACACGCACGCACACUCACACACACAAACACACACACACACACACACACACACACACACACACACACACACACACACACACACACACACACACACACACACACACACACACACACACACAAUAUAUGAUCAGGUCACACAUUCAGUCAUGUUUGAGUUUGCUCUGUGAGCUGAUAUAAUAAAUCGAAUGUUUGAAAGCAGGUAAAUGUAGCCCAUUAUUACUACUAUUAAUAAG
Cyprinus carpio carpio is the source of this 3317-nucleotide long non-coding RNA. NCBI's taxonomy places the organism in Eukaryota, Metazoa, Chordata, Actinopteri, Cypriniformes, Cyprinidae. The record is from Ensembl.